Molecule: ribosomal RNA, 329 nt
Filed under: Babesia microti
Lineage: Eukaryota; Apicomplexa; Aconoidasida; Piroplasmida; Babesiidae
Description: SSU rRNA
Rfam family: Eukaryotic small subunit ribosomal RNA
Source: RNAcentral
UUCCGAGCGUUUUUUUAUUGGCUUGGCAUCUUCUGGAUUUGGUGCCUUCGGGUACUAUUUUCCAGGAUUUACUUUGAGAAAACUAGAGUGUUUCAAACAGGCAUUCGCCUUGAAUACUACAGCAUGGAAUAAUGAAGUAGGACUUUGGUUCUAUUUUGUUGGUUAUUGAGCCAGAGUAAUGGUUAAUAGGAGCAGUUGGGGGCAUUCGUAUUUAACUGUCAGAGGUGAAAUUCUUAGAUUUGUUAAAGACGAACUACUGCGAAAGCAUUUGCCAAGGAUGUUUUCAUUAAUCAAGAACGAAAGUUAGGGGAUCGAAGACGAUCAGAUAC